Small nuclear RNA from Chelonoidis abingdonii (Abingdon island giant tortoise), 109 nucleotides. The record is from Ensembl. NCBI's taxonomy places the organism in Eukaryota, Metazoa, Chordata, Testudines, Testudinidae.
CUGCUGUGAGAACAGCAGCACAUAUAUUAAAAUUGGAGCGACAUAGAGAAGAUUAGCAUAGCCCCUGUGCAAGAAUGACACACAAAUUCGUGAUGCAUUCCAUAUUUUU